Molecule: ribosomal RNA, 900 nt
Filed under: Russula cf. pectinatoides
Lineage: Eukaryota; Fungi; Basidiomycota; Agaricomycetes; Russulales; Russulaceae
Description: LSU rRNA
Rfam family: Eukaryotic large subunit ribosomal RNA
Source: RNAcentral
AGGGAUUCCCCUAGUACUGCGAGUGAGCGGGAAAAGCUCAAAUUUAAAAUCUGGUGGUCUUUGGCCAUCCGAGUUGUAAUUUAGAGAAGCGUCUUCCGCGCUGGACCGUGCAUAAGUCUCCUGGAAUGGAGCGUCAUAGAGGGUGAGAAUCCCGUCUUUGGCACGGACCCCAGGGCUUCUGUGAUGCGCUCUCAAAGAGUCGAGUUGUUUGGGAAUGCAGCUCAAAAUGGGUGGUGAACUCCAUCUAAAGCUAAAUAUUGGCGAGAGACCGAUAGCGAACAAGUACCGUGAGGGAAAGAUGAAAAGCACUUUGGAAAGAGAGUGAAACAGUACGUGAAAUUGUUGAAAGGGAAACGCUUGAAGUCAGUCGCGUCGACCGAGACUCAGCCUCGCCUCGGCUUGGUGUACUUCUCGGCUGACGGGUCAGCAUCAAUUUCGAUCCUUGGAUAAUGGCAAGGGAAAGGUAGCACCUUUAUAGGUGUGUUAUAGUCCUCUGUCGGAUGCAAGGGUCGGGAUUGAGGAACUCAGCACGCACCUUUUAGGUGUCGGGGCCUCGGCCUACGUUACGUGCUUAGGAUGCUGGCAUAAUGGCUUUAAACGACCCGUCUUGAAACACGGACCAAGGAGUCUAACAUGCACGCGAGUGUUCGGGUGGAAAACCCGUGCGCGUAAUGAAAGUAAAAGUUGGGACCUCUGUCGUGGAGGGCACCGACGCCCGGACCAGACCUUCUGUGACGGCUCCGCGGUAGAGCGUGUAUGUUGGGACCCGAAAGAUGGUGAACUAUGCCUGAAUAGGGUGAAGCCAGAGGAAACUCUGGUGGAGGCUCGUAGCGAUUCUGACGUGCAAAUCGAUCGUCAAAUUUGGGUAUAGGGGCGAAAGACUAAUCGAACAUCUAGUAG